AUUGAACGCUGGCGGCAGGCUUAACACAUGCAAGUCGAGCGGGGGAAGGUAGCUUGCUACCGGACCUAGCGGCGGACGGGUGAGUAAUGCUUAGGAAUCUGCCUAUUAGUGGGGGACAGCAUCUCGAAAGGGAUGCUAAUACCGCAUACGUCCUACGGGAGAAAGCGGGGGAUCUUCGGACCUUGCGCUAAUAGAUGAGCCUAAGUCGGAUUAGCUAGUUGGUGGGGUAAAGGCCUACCAAGGCGACGAUCUGUAGCGGGUCUGAGAGGAUGAUCAGCCACACUGGGACUGAGACACGGCCCAGACUCCUACGGGAGGCAGCAGUGGGGAAUAUUGGACAAUGGGGGGAACCCUGAUCCAGCCAUGCCGCGUGUGUGAAGAAGGCCUUAUGGUUGUAAAGCACUUUAAGCGAGGAGGAGGCUACUCUAGUUAAUACCUAGGGAUAGUGGACGUUACUCGCAGAAUAAGUACCGGCUAACUCUGUGCCAGCCGCCGCAGUAA
RNAcentral lists this ribosomal RNA (501 nucleotides) under uncultured bacterium. RNAcentral's name for it is "partial 16S ribosomal RNA". It matches the Rfam family "Bacterial small subunit ribosomal RNA", at positions 30 to 523 of the family's 1533-position model. The record is from RNAcentral.